GGACCGGCGCGGUGCCCGCCGCCUGCCCCCGCCGCCCUGCCUGCGCGGGCGUGCGCGGCUCGGCCGCAGCGGAGCGCGGGGCUCCGGCGGGCGCUGCGCGGCCCCCCCCCCGCCCCGCCGGGCUGGAUAUGUGGAUGCUCACGUGAAGAUGGAUGUAGCGAUCGGGCUGCUGGGGCUGCUGACGGUUCUGCUGGAGGGCAGCUCCGGCCAAGGGGUGUACGCCCCCCCCACGGUGCGGAUCGUGCACUCGGGCCUGGCCUGCAACAUCGAGGAGGAGCGCUACUCCGAGCGGGUCUACACCAUCCGCGAGGGAGAGACCCUGGAGCUCACCUGCCUGGUCACCGGCCACCCCCGCCCACAGAUCAGGUGGACCAAAACAGCAGGAAGUGCCUCAGACAGAUUCCAAGAUUCCAGUGUCUUCAACGAAACCCUGAGGAUUUCCAACAUCCAGAGACACCAGGGAGGCCGCUACUACUGCAAGGCUGAGAACGGCCUGGGCUCCCCGGCCAUCAAAUCCAUCCGAGUGGAUGUGUACUAUUUGGAUGAUCCCAUAGUCACGGUCCACCAGAGCAUCGGGGAAGCCAAGGAGCAGUUUUAUUAUGAGAAGACCGUGUUCCUCAGGUGCGUGGCCAACUCCAACCCGCCCGUGCGCUACAGCUGGCGCCGCGGCCAGGAGGUGCUGCUGCAGGGCUCCGACAAGGGAGUGGAGAUCUACGAGCCCUUCUUUACCCAGGGAGAAACCAAGAUCCUGAAGCUGAAGAAUCUGCGACCUCAGGACUACGCCAACUACAGCUGCAUCGCCUCGGUGCGGAAUGUCUGCAGCAUCCCGGAUAAAAUGGUGUCCUUCCGCCUCUCCAACAAAACUGCAUCCCCUUCCAUCAAGCUCCUCGUGGACGACCCCAUCGUGGUGAACCCUGGAGAAGCCAUCACCUUGGUGUGUGUGACCACCGGGGGGGAGCCGGCGCCCAGCCUGACGUGGGUGAGGUCUGCGGGGGUCCUGCCCAACAAGACUGUCCUGAACGGGGGCACCCUGACCAUCCCCGCCAUCACCUCCGAGGAUUCCGGCACCUACAGUUGUAUCGCCAACAACAACGUCGGCAAUCCCGCGAAGAAGUCCACCAACAUCAUCGUAAGAGCCUUAAAAAAAGGACGCUUUUGGAUCACCCCCGACCCGUACCACAAGGACGACAACAUCCAGAUCGGGCGGGAGGUGAAGAUCUCGUGCCAGGUGGAAGCCAUCCCCUCGGAGGAGCUCACCUUCAGCUGGUUCAAGAACGGGCGGCCCCUGCGCAGCUCGGAGAGGAUGGUGAUCACCCAGACCGACCCCGACGUGUCCCCCGGCACCACCAACCUGGACAUCAUCGACCUCAAGUUCACGGAUUUCGGGACCUACACCUGCGUGGCGUCCCUCAAGGGAGGCGGCAUCUCGGACAUCAGCAUCGACGUCAACAUCUCCAGCAGCACGGUGCCCCCCAACCUGACGGUGCCUCAGGAGAAGUCCCCGCUGGUGACGCGGGAAGGGGACACCAUCGAGCUGCAGUGCCAGGUGACAGGGAAGCCCAAGCCCAUCAUCCUGUGGUCACGGGCGGACAAGGAGGUGGCCAUGCCCGACGGGGCCCUGCAGACCGAGAGCUACGACGGGAUCCUGCGGAUCGUCAACGUUUCCCGGGAAAUGACCGGGACCUACCGCUGCCAGACCAGCCAGUACAACGGGUUUAAUGUCAAACCCAGAGAGGCCUUGGUGCAGCUCAUCGUGCAGUACCCCCCGGCGGUGGAGCCGGCGUUCCUGGAGCUGCGGCAGGGCCAGGGCCGCGGCGUCACCAUGAGCUGCCGCGUGCUGCGCGCGUACCCCACGCGGGUGCUGAGCUACGAGUGGCGCCUGGGCGGGCGCGUGCUGCGCACGGGGCAGUUCGACCUGCAGGACUCCACCGAGUACACCGUCAGCAGCCUGUCCCGUGACUCCUACGGCGUCUACAACUGCAACAUCAUCAACGAGGCGGGCGCCGGCCGCUGCAGCUUCCUCGUCACAGGGAAAGCCUACGCCCCGGAGUUCUACUACGACACGUACAACCCGCUGUGGCAGAACCGGCCGCGGGUCUACUCCUACAGCCUGCAGUGGACGCAGAUGAACCCCAGCGCCGUGGAUCGGAUCCUGGCCUAUCGCCUGGGCAUCCGCCAGGCCGGCCAGCAGCGGUGGUGGGAGCAGGAGAUCACGGUGAACGGGAACAUCCAGAAGGGGGAAUUGAUCACCUACAACCUGACGGAGCUCAUCAAGCCUGAGGCCUACGAGGUCCGCCUGACACCCAUCACCCGAUUUGGGGAGGGCGACUCCACCAUCCGGGUCAUCAAAUACAGCGCUCCGGUGAAUCCACAUCUCCGAGAGUUCCACUGUGGCUUUGAGGAUGGGAACAUUUGCCUUUUCACUCAAGAUGACACUGACAACUUUGACUGGACAAAACAAAGCACUGCCACGAGGGACACGAAAUACACCCCGAACACGGGGCCCAACGCCGACCGCACCGGCUCCAAGGAGGGUUUUUACAUGUACAUCGAGACGUCCCGGCCCAGGCUGGAGGGGGAGAAGGCCCGACUCGUCAGUCCCGUUUUCAGCGUCGCUCCCAAAAAUCCCUACGGAGCCACCAACACGGCCUAUUGCUUCAGCUUCUACUAUCACAUGAAGUUUGAACGUUUACCUGCGGCUCAAAGGCCAGACUGCCAUAGAAAACCCCCUGUGGUCCUCGAGUGGGAAUAAGGGACAGCACUGGAACCAAGCCCGGGUGAACAUCAACCCCCCCACCUCAUUCCAGCUCAUCUUUGAAGGGAUCCGUGGCCCUGGAAUCGAAGGGGACAUUGCUAUUGACGAUGUGUCCAUUGUGGAAGGAGAGUGUAUGAAAUCAGACCAACCGGCCAACAAUCUACGAUCAGGGGCUGUUGGGCCAUUAGCACAUAUACGACUUCUCCCACUCCUCAUCCUCAUGUCUGUCUUAAGUCAUCAGAGGUGACCUUACCCUGGCAGAGGCUACAAAAGAUUCACCAGGCACUGGCAUGAAGAAAGAGUCUUUGUAAAAUGGACAUUUCCAAACAAACUACCAAAGAUUCCUCCACUGACUGACUCGAAAGUUAAAUAAAUACGUAAAUAAAUAAUUUAAAAAUUAAAAAAAAAAAAAAAGCGGAUUAAGAAAGCACUGGGGACUUGAAAAGGCAUCACGGGAGUGGAACUCACUAAGAACCAAGCUUGAGACCGAGAUCUGGCCUAAGUAAGGAAGAGACCUUCAGGUGCUUUUGUGGUCACUGAUGAAUUCAGCAUCAUCUGGUUGAACUCUCGGCAAAGAGCUCUAGAAACCCUUGUCAAAGCACAAAGUCAUGGCUGGUUUUGUUUCAAAUGAAUCGUUUGCUUGUUACCAUGGAAACCGAAUGGCCUGCCAAAAAAAAAAAAAAAAAGAGGAAGGAGAGAGAGAGAGAGAGAGAGGAAAUACAAACACACAGAGAGAGAGAAACACCUCACUGUAAACAGGGUACGUGAAGAGCUGGCGUUCAUUUUCCCUUCCCGAAGGUUUUUAGCGUAGAGUUAAACAAAUGUCGGCCCUUUCUACUUCGGCUGUCACCUCCCCUCGAGGAUAACCCGGAAUCGGAGCUGUUUGCAGACGUUCCCGUUUCAUUCCUCACGGCUCUGCUUGGUGACUGUGUGCUGUCUCCUUUUGCAUGCAUUCCCACCCAGGAUGUGCCACCUGGGCUUACAUUUGUCACAGGCUUCACUGGGAGUUUGCUCGCGGCCGCUGGAAGAUCCCUCUCCCCUCCCCACCGGAGUCAUCAGCUCUACGGAAGUGAAGAAACCAAACCACCGUCUUUUAUAAAUUGCCAUGGAAACCAAGUGCCUUCAAUGAAACAAGCCUGAUUUCAGAAAAAAAUAAAACAAAAACAAAAAAACGAACAAAAUAUAUAUAUAUAUAUAUAUAUAUAAAUAUAUAUAUAUAAAAAUAAAAUUAAAAAAUUAUAAUAAAUGUAAUAACGAUGAUUUCAACGCGGAAGCUUUGCACCGCUGAAAACGUGGGUUGUGCAAAGCCUUUUCUAAACGAACUCUGGAGCCUGGGUGUGCAGGCAAGGAGAUGGAGCCGCUUCUGGAGAAGGAUGGAUGGACCCAAGCUGCUGUGGAAAGCCUUUGGGAUGAGAUCCGUGUCCAGACAGCCAUGGCCUUUCAGCUUCUUAUCCAUUCGAAACAGCUCCCGCUGGUGCUGCCGAUGGGAGCAGCACUUUUCGUUGUCGUUGUCGUCGUCGUUUCAGGUUCUCCAGUGGGUCAACCAGAGGAACAAAGGUGGUUCAGACACACACUUGGUGCAGAAGGUGGUGAAACACAGGAUGAUUUUCUUACUCUCCCCCUCCGUUGGGAUGGCUCCCGACAUCUGGAGCUCCGGACGCUCCGAGGGGGCUCUGCCUCUGCCCCGGAGCCAGACUCGGUGCAGAGGGCGAAAGAUUAUUUUGUUAUUGUAGCGAAAUUCAAAAAACAAACAAACAAAAAAGUUAAAAAAAAUAAAAAUAAUCCACUUUUACAAGGAAAAAAAAAAUAAAAGCUGUACAAAAUGGGUUCGAGCUACCCGAACACGUGCCGGUUUUCCACUGCAUUGUAAAGUUCCCUUCCAGUUGGUUAUGAAAUUUGAAGACCUUUUUCCUUAAAUUAGCUCAGCUUUUAACUUCAUUUAAAAAAAAAAAAAAAGGACUUUUGUCUAAAGAAGAGUAUUAUUAUUAUUAUAAUUAUAAUAAUUAUUAUUAUUAUUCUGUGUUCUCUCGACACCCUAGGAUUAAAAGCAAAACCUGAUAUGCAAACAAUUGGAGUACAAACGUGAAAACAAACAAAAGAUGAGUAUAAUAAUUGCAAAUAUGAGUAUAAAAAGCACAACGAGAUGCAGUAAAACAAUGACAAGGCUUGAUUUUUUUUAUUCUGUAGAGAAAUGUUUGUGCAAAUUCAGUAAUUCCACUGAAGAGAUAAUUUUCCAGCUCUGUUCAAUAAAGCCUCUUUCCAGGUAA
Molecule: RNA transcript, 5022 nt
Organism: Motacilla alba alba
Lineage: Eukaryota; Metazoa; Chordata; Aves; Passeriformes; Motacillidae
Gene: MDGA2
Gene name: MAM domain containing glycosylphosphatidylinositol anchor 2
Exons: 17
Source: RefSeq, a predicted model, not a curated record